GCGCGAGUGGCGGAAUAGGCAGACGCGCAGCGUUCAGGUCGCUGUAUCCGAAAGGGUGUAGGGGUUCAACUCCCCUCUCGCGCACCA
Molecule: transfer RNA, 87 nt
Filed under: Actinomycetota bacterium
Lineage: Bacteria; Bacillati; Actinomycetota
Also listed under: 2 other names
Description: Actinobacteria bacterium tRNA-Leu
Rfam family: tRNA
About the family: Transfer RNA (tRNA) molecules are approximately 80 nucleotides in length. Their secondary structure includes four short double-helical elements and three loops (D, anti-codon, and T loops). Further hydrogen bonds mediate the characteristic L-shaped molecular structure. tRNAs have two regions of fundamental functional importance: the anti-codon, which is responsible for specific mRNA codon recognition, and the 3' end, to which the tRNAs corresponding amino acid is attached (by aminoacyl-tRNA synthetases). tRNAs cope with the degeneracy of the genetic code in two manners: having more than one tRNA (with a specific anti-codon) for a particular amino acid; and 'wobble' base-pairing, i.e. permitting non-standard base-pairing at the 3rd anti-codon position.
Source: RNAcentral